This 69-nucleotide transfer RNA is filed under the name Plesionika izumiae. Its description in RNAcentral is "tRNA-Lys". The record is from RNAcentral. Lineage: Eukaryota; Metazoa; Arthropoda; Malacostraca; Decapoda; Pandalidae.
CGUUAGGUGACUGAAAGAAAGUGCCGGUCUUUUAAACCUGUGAUAGUAUAUACGCCCUACUUCUAACGA